Molecule: long non-coding RNA, 343 nt
Organism: Cyclopterus lumpus (lumpfish)
Lineage: Eukaryota; Metazoa; Chordata; Actinopteri; Perciformes; Cyclopteridae
Exons: 3
Source: RefSeq, a predicted model, not a curated record
CUGGAAGAGUUCAAACAGCUUUUCACCAUCUGCUACAGCCGUCCAGACAGCCAGCUGAGGGCCACCGAGGAGGCCACAGCUGGACACUGGGAAACGGUCCUUACGCUGGUCCGCGAUGGUAAGGCAGAUCUGUCCUUUGAAGACCUGCUCGCCUUCAUCACUGGAGAUGAUCAUCUGCCUCCCCUCGGUUUCCCCAAAUUGAUCUCCCUAUGUUUUUACUCCCAGGAUCCUAGCAUAUCAGGUGAGCGGCUCCCUCACUCCUCCACCUGCACUCUCGAGCUCUUCCUGCCGAGAGGAGCAGCAGGGGCUGCAGACCUGUUGGCGCUGCUAAGCAGAGCCCUGC